This is a long non-coding RNA of Cydia amplana, 147 nucleotides long. RefSeq lists it as uncharacterized. The transcript is spliced from 3 exons. The record is from RefSeq and is a predicted model, not a curated record. NCBI's taxonomy places the organism in Eukaryota, Metazoa, Arthropoda, Insecta, Lepidoptera, Tortricidae.
UGGGGUUAGGGUCGGCAACGCGCAUGUAACACCUCUGGAGUUGCAGGCGUCCAUAGGCUACGGUGACUGCUUACCAUCAGGCGGCCCGUAUGCUUGUUUGCCACCUAUGUGGUAUAAAAAAAAAAAAAAUGCCAAUACUUAAAUAUG